AAACGAUGGAGGUCAGUCGUGUCUGUGGGAUUCAGCCGUCUCUGGCGGUGUACUUCCCACAGACGGGUCAACAUCAGUUUUGGCUGGCGGAUAAAGGCAGGAGGAAGGUGGCACCCCCGGGUGUGUUAUAGCUUUUUACCGUAUACAGUGGUUGGGACUGAGGAACUCAGCACGCCGCAAGGCCGGGUUUUUAACCACGUUCGUGCUUAGGAUGCUGGCAUAAUGGCUUUAAU
This 233-nucleotide ribosomal RNA is filed under the name Tremellales sp. RNAcentral describes it as "partial large subunit ribosomal RNA". The record is from RNAcentral. Lineage: Eukaryota; Fungi; Basidiomycota; Tremellomycetes; Tremellales.